Non-coding RNA from Trichonephila inaurata madagascariensis, 72 nucleotides. The record is from the annotation of a GenBank genome assembly. NCBI's taxonomy places the organism in Eukaryota, Metazoa, Arthropoda, Arachnida, Araneae, Nephilidae.
GCGUCGGUGGUAUAACGGUUAGCAUAGCUGCCUUCCGCAGUUGACCCGGGUUCGACUCCCCGGCCGGACGCA